GUGAGGAAUAUUGCGCAAUGGAGGCAACUCUGACGCAGCCAUGCCGCGUGCAGGAAGAAGGCGCUACGCGUUGUAAACUGCUUUUAACCGGGAAGAAACCCCAGGACGUGUCCUGGGUUGACGGUACCGGAGGGAUAAGCACCGGCUAACUUCGUGCCAGCAGCCGCGGUAAUACGAAGGGUGCAAGCGUUAUCCGGAUUCAUUGGGUUUAAAGGGUGCGUAGGCGGAGCGGUAAGUCAGUGGUGAAAUCCUGCAGCUUAACUGUAGACUUGCCAUUGGUACUGGCGCUCUUGAGUGCGCUUGAAGUGGGCGGAAUGUGCCGUGUAGCGGUGAAAUGCUUAGAUAUGGCACAGAACACCAAUUGCGAAGGCAGCUCACUAAGGCGAUACUGACGCUGAGGCACGAAAGCGUGGGGAUCGAACAGGAUUAGAUACCCGGGUAGUCC
RNAcentral lists this ribosomal RNA (445 nucleotides) under uncultured bacterium. Its description in RNAcentral is "partial 16S ribosomal RNA". It matches the Rfam family "Bacterial small subunit ribosomal RNA", at positions 354 to 796 of the family's 1533-position model. The record is from RNAcentral.